CUGGGCAGGAAGGACGCUGCGGUGUGAGAAGAGCACGCGUAGGACGGGCUUCUGAGACUGCACUCGCUACCGUCAACCUCGGAGAGUCAGUCCCACCGAGCUGCACCGCGCCAGCGAGUAGCGGGAGCGACCGCACCCACAAUUUUAGGUCCCAUUCUGCAACUACACCUGUAGGCCUCACCAUCAGCCAUUUCUGAGAACAUACUGUGAUCAUUUCAGUCAUAAUUAUGACUGGAAGAAACAGCAUUGUGAUCACAUGAAGUUUAUGGGGGAAAAAAAAGGAUAAUAAACCAGCCAGUGGAAUGCCAGCAAACGAUUGAGACUUGCUGUAACAGCUUCAACACUGGAAAACGAGUAGACUGAGAGGAAGAUGCAUAGAAUUUAAGAGUAGAGCCUGCUGGAGGAAAUCCAAUUUAAGUUCUAUUUACCCACAGCAUCCCUCAGAUCAUGCAUUUUCUGAAGAGCCUGUCUUUCAGGACGAAUCCACCAAGUACUGGCUUCUAGACACAAGCUGGAAACCAAAAGAAUUCCAAAGAAGAUGAAGGACUGACAAUAAAUGAACCCUCCUAAAAAAAAUGAACUAUUCA
Molecule: long non-coding RNA, 587 nt
Filed under: Phasianus colchicus (ring-necked pheasant)
Lineage: Eukaryota; Metazoa; Chordata; Aves; Galliformes; Phasianidae
Description: lncRNA (ENSPCLG00000006708.1)
Source: RNAcentral